Pelobates cultripes (western spadefoot toad) is the source of this 222-nucleotide non-coding RNA. The record is from the annotation of a GenBank genome assembly. NCBI's taxonomy places the organism in Eukaryota, Metazoa, Chordata, Amphibia, Anura, Pelobatidae.
GGAUACCAGUUUGUGUAGGUGAUGCAGUGUGUUUGUGUGUAGUGGAAGCAGUGUGUAUUUGUGUAUAAGGGAUGUAUUGUGUGUUUCUGGUUGUGUGUAAGGGAUGCAUUGCGUGAAUCUGUGUUUGUAUGCAUAAGGGAUGCAAGGUGUGUGUCUGUAUGUGUGUGCAUUGAGUGUGAGUAAGAGAUGCAUUGUGUUUCUGUGUGUAUGUGUGUAUGUAUG